RNAcentral lists this long non-coding RNA (786 nucleotides) under Cricetulus griseus (Chinese hamster). RNAcentral describes it as "lncRNA (ENSCGRG00015042175.1)". Lineage: Eukaryota; Metazoa; Chordata; Mammalia; Rodentia; Cricetidae. The record is from RNAcentral.
AGGCGUUGGACCCCACAGGGAGCCAGCUACAGCAGGCCUAGGCUGUGGGGAUGGAGAGAGGACAAAGGAACGACAGAGGACCAGGCUUCCAACUUGUGAUUCCUUUACUGGGCAAGACACUCUUAGCCUAGAUAGAACCAGGUGAAGACACAGGUGCUCACACAGCCACUGACAGCUGCAAGAAAACACAGGCCACCUGAGGAUGAAGCUUGAAUUAGAGAUGACAGGCCACAGUUCCAGCCUCUGGGUCAAACUCCAUCUGAAACGAACCUCACUGCUUUUCUCCAGAGAAAGCCCCCAGCACCCCUGAGCAUCGCUGAUGACAAGCCUCAUCUUUCCUGAGAGAGCUGUGACAACACAUGGGAAGAAAACAACCGAGAGGAACAAGAAUUCAGUUUAGCUCACAGUUCCAGGGUCUCAGUGCUUGGACUCAGGCCCCAUAGUUUAACACCAGGCAUGGUGUUAAUUCUGAGAUUUGCAGGAGAAACACCAGUUGCACCAUCUGGGACCAAAUUAAAGCAAACUUUAUUAAAAUGUUAAAUACUGACCAAGAUGGAAUUUGAUCAGGACCACUUCCUGGAACUUUCCAGCUGAAUGGCUCUGAGACAGGAGUCAUCAGGGCUUUUAUGGACAAAACUCAUAGGCCACCAUACUUUCCCAUGAGGCUUUGUUGUUGUUUUUCAAGAACUACAACUCCCAGCAUCCCAGGAAGUUACCUGCUCCUUGGGCAGGUGGGUUUACAGGUAAAUUUAGGGUAUAACAAUCGUAGAACAAAGCUGCUCACCC